AUCUCCACACUUUCUCAUUAUCCACACAGCUUACGCGUGCCCCCACGCAUCCCAGCUCAUCUACACAUAGGUACCCCCGCGCUCAGCCAUUCCUCCGGUUUCCGCAAGAAAAUGGUCAGCUUCCUCGCCCUUGAAGUAAACCUCGUGAUGGUGCCAGUCCUGACUCUCUUUCUCCUCUACUGCGUUCCCAUACGAGCCAUCUCCGUCACAGCGGAGCGCAUCACUCGCCUUGUGGAAGGGUAUAACAUCAACGGAUUGACAAUUAUGUCCGCCAUGGCCAUCAUAUCGUCUUUCUCCUUCCUUUUCCACAUCCUCGAGUGGAACUCCAAGUAUGCCGCGAAGCAGCGCUUCACCGAUAUAAGCCUGCAGCUGCAGCAUGACAACAAGCGGCUGAGACUGGAGCGCAACAUGUACAUCCAGCUUGUUAUCUGCGUUCUGUGCCUCGCUGUCAAGAAGUGUGCAACGCUUCUGAGACAUCAAGAACCUCGCCGCGAAGCAUCCGCUGCUCCUUUUCGCGCAGCUGCAGCAACGGCGCACACGAAGGCAGCGUAAUCGUGUGUGUUGGCGCACAUUCAUACUCUCUAUCGUAGAAGUUUUUCCGUUGCCGUCGUCGCCGAACUGUAUUCUCUCUCCAUCCGUUAUCUUGCUCCACGCCCAACUUCAUCUCAGCAAAGUUGCUAAUGCUUUCAGCCAAGUUUUCUCUUGGCUGCAGCACAGCGCGCUGCGGCUGCAUCAAUAGCAUCCUUUCAUCCACGUUAGUGUACCUCGGGUAUUCUGAUACGAGCUUUCUCUCUGUGCACCCGUUCCUUUCUGCAUGGCACUCACCGGCUUCUUUCAACCACAUCGUUCUCCACUUCCCACCUUUGAUUUCACGACCAAG
RNAcentral lists this unclassified non-coding RNA (880 nucleotides) under Leishmania donovani. RNAcentral's name for it is "gene:LdHU3.31.4920(CDS-product:hypothetical_prote in_conserved)". Lineage: Eukaryota; Euglenozoa; Kinetoplastea; Trypanosomatida; Trypanosomatidae. The record is from RNAcentral.